GACGAACGCUGGCGGCGUGCUUAAUACAUGCAAGUCGAGCGAGGUUACUGUUUCGGAUCCCUUCGGGGUGAAGAAGCUUUAACCUAGCGGCGGACGGGUGAGUAACGCGUGGGUAACCUACCCCAAAGUCCGGGAUAACAGCGGGAAACCGCUGCUAAUACCGGAUGCCUUUACCUUGGGGCAUCUUGAGGUAAAGAAAGGCAACGCUUUGGGAUGGGCCCGCGUCCCAUUAGCUAGUUGGUGAGGUAACGGCUCACCAAGGCGACGAUGGGUAGCCGGCCUGAGAGGGUGGACGGCCACACUGGGACUGAGACACGGCCCAGACUCCUACGGGAGGCAGCAGUAGGGAAUAUUGCGCAAUGGACGGAAGUCUGACGCAGCGACGCCGCGUGAGCGAUGAAGGUCUUCGGAUCGUAAAGCUCUGUCCUUGGGGAAGAAGGCGAAAGCUUGACGGUACCCCAAGAAGAAAGCCCCGGCUAACUACGUG
This 487-nucleotide ribosomal RNA is filed under the name uncultured bacterium. RNAcentral's name for it is "bacterial SSU rRNA". It matches the Rfam family "Bacterial small subunit ribosomal RNA", at positions 28 to 507 of the family's 1533-position model. The record is from RNAcentral.